RNAcentral lists this transfer RNA (73 nucleotides) under Allonocardiopsis opalescens. It matches the Rfam family "tRNA". From Rfam's summary of the family: Transfer RNA (tRNA) molecules are approximately 80 nucleotides in length. Lineage: Bacteria; Bacillati; Actinomycetota; Actinomycetes; Streptosporangiales. The record is from Rfam by way of RNAcentral.
UCCUGCGUAGCUCAAUUGGCAGAGCAGCCGGCUGUUAACCGGCAGGUUAUUGGUUCGAGUCCAAUCGCAGGAG